CGCUGGCGUGUCUCAAUAAAUCAGGCUGAGCAGCCACUCUUAAUGCACUCACCAAACUAUCGAUAAGGAAAAGGAGAGGCAAACACUGCCUUUCUCAGGAGUGAUGUCACUGAUAACCUGGCGGGCAAACACUCUUCCUGACUGACCGGGUCUCGGUCAAUCAAUAGCAGCACAAUGCCUCGCUUGGCAAAUGCACAGGUGAGCAGAAUGUCUAAUAAUCUGCGAGAGACGGACUAUGCCCAACUUUCAAAAGGAGACAGAAGUGGCUGUGAUGUCCUGUCCACCAAAACCUAAAGCAGUGCACUCAGACAUCACACCAUCCUAGUGUCUUGUAUGCAUUGAAAAGGCAUUUGAGUUGUCUGGAUGAAGCCUUUUAUGUCAAAACCUUUUAUAUUUUGCCAUUUCCCACCAAGGAGUGGAGCAGAGUGAAAUCUGAGCACAACUGGGUCCAUGAAUUGUUCAUUUGUUUCUUGUGAACUCCCUGAGCCCUGGACAAAGUUUAGAACUAGUUGGUACAAAAAAGGUUAGAGGUUCCUCAGGCAGUCACUAAUCGAAUCUGUCCAUAGAGGCCAAUUACGGGACAAAAAAAUCACGGGCAACAUGUCUUGGGCCUUUCAUCAGAGACUGACGGUUUACAAAAAAAAACUAAAAAAAAAAAAAAAAACUACAUCCACAGUCCUUCAUCCUAUUUUAAACUAAGCUCUAUUUCCACACGGCUGCCAUGUGUAUUUCUCAUACCCAGGACAAAAUUAUCCCUCAGCAUUUUAUCUGCCACACAAGGAAACCAUGUCUGAAUAAUCCAAUAAAAAUAAAGAAAAAAGAAAUCCAUCCCUCCACGAGGGUGUCCUGCCGUUACCUGAACGCCAAAUACCAUACUUGCCUUGUGGCAAAGUCACUGAUUAGCCUUUGUAAUGUAAGUCCAAUCAUCAUGAAGUCUCUCCUGGCACACAUUUGUCCUCUCUCAGUCUUCACUCAAGUACAUGCUCAUGAACUCCACUGAACCAGAAAUAAUGUUCACAAAUGCUGUACCGAGUUCCCUGAGAUGCAAACAACUUCAUGAAACUGGCUUUCGAUUCACUUCUGGGUUAUUU
Amphiprion ocellaris (clown anemonefish) is the source of this 1091-nucleotide long non-coding RNA. The record is from Ensembl. NCBI's taxonomy places the organism in Eukaryota, Metazoa, Chordata, Actinopteri, Pomacentridae.